CUUUGAUUUAGCUGAGUCACUGUUGGUUGAGUCUGUGGAAGAAGAAAUGAAGAUGUCAGAAGUUAAAACGUGAACAAGUCAAAGCGGCCAUGGUGGAGGACACAGAGGUCGUUUCAGCAGCACAAAGCUGCAACACAAAACAUGAGUCAUCCUUUAUUUUUAAAUACUGCUCUUCAAAUGAGUCAGAUUUUAUCAUAGUAUUUCAAAAAUAAUCUUGGUAAGAAGUUUUCCUUCCACUCCGAGGGACUUUUACAAGUUUCCAUUUCCAUUUCCAGCAGAAAUUUCCUCAAGAAAGCUUUAAAAGACGACAAUAAAAUCUGACUCAUUGGAAGCAAAAUCUAAAGAAAUAAGGAAAGACUUGCAACUUUGUGCACAGAUCAAAAUAAAUAAAAGUUCAUGUGGAGUUGUGAACUUCCACUGUGUCCUCUCAUCAUGUCAGAACCAAGAGCAAACACACCGGUUUACAGACUCAAGCAUUUGGAGGGAAAGACAAUGAUUUGAUGGGAAGCAGCAGCUGGAGUUGGGAGGAGAGAGAGCAUUAGGAACCACAGCAAACACUGAUGGCACCAAUCAUCGACAGGGAAGGAAGCGGGGAAACGCAUUUCCUCACAAACACAGACACACAAGGCUUCAGAAGGAAUGAGCAGAUUUUUCCAGAUAGUAAAAAACAUUUUUCAGGUGGGAAAGAC
This is a long non-coding RNA of Poecilia latipinna (sailfin molly), 689 nucleotides long. RefSeq lists it as uncharacterized. The transcript has 3 exons. The record is from RefSeq and is a predicted model, not a curated record. Lineage: Eukaryota; Metazoa; Chordata; Actinopteri; Cyprinodontiformes; Poeciliidae.